RNAcentral lists this long non-coding RNA (229 nucleotides) under Ananas comosus (pineapple). RNAcentral describes it as "long non-coding RNA (ACOM_LNC034210)". Lineage: Eukaryota; Viridiplantae; Streptophyta; Magnoliopsida; Poales; Bromeliaceae. The record is from RNAcentral.
AUACUAUUAUGAGUACGAUCGCUCUCGUACUCAUAAAUCGUUUUCGAUGAUAGAAGUUCCAAAUCGACGAUCCAUAUCGUUAAACGUUUUUUACAGCAUUUAAAACUUCUAGAAAUCAAAUUUUAUAAUUUUUCGACAUCAUUUACCUUACGAUCAAGAGGUCACAAAUUUGAUAAUUUUUAACGGCCGGUAUGUGAUACUUGCUAGUUUAACGGUGUAAAAGAAUCGG